RNAcentral lists this ribosomal RNA (301 nucleotides) under uncultured bacterium. Its description in RNAcentral is "partial 16S ribosomal RNA". It matches the Rfam family "Bacterial small subunit ribosomal RNA", at positions 509 to 807 of the family's 1533-position model. The record is from RNAcentral.
CAGCAGCCGCGGUAAUACAGAGGGUGCAAGCGUUAAUCGGAUUUACUGGGCGUAAAGGGCGCGUAGGUGGUUAUGUAAGUGAGAUGUGAAAUCCCCGGGCUCAACCUGGGAACUGCAUCUUAUACUGCGUAGCUGGAGUGCAGUAGAGGGUAGUGGAAUUUCCGGUGUAGCGGUGAAAUGCGUAGAUAUCGGAAGGAACACCAGUGGCGAAGGCGGCUACCUGGACUGACACUGACACUGAGGCGCGAAAGCGUGGGGAGCAAACAGGAUUAGAUACCCCUGUAGUCCCUGUCUCUUAUAC